AUUGAACGCUGGCGGCAGGCCUAACACAUGCCAGUCGAGCGGAUGAAGGGAGCUUGCUCCUGGAUUCAGCGGCGGACGGGUGAGUAAUGCCUAGGAAUCUGCCUGGUAGUGGGGGAUAACGUCCGGAAACGGGCGCUAAUACCGCAUACGUCCUGAGGGAGAAAGUGGGGGAUCUUCGGACCUCACGCUAUCAGAUGAGCCUAGGUCGGAUUAGCUAGUUGGUGGGGUAAAGGCCUACCAAGGCGACGAUCCGUAACUGGUCUGAGAGGAUGAUCAGUCACACUGGAACUGAGACACGGUCCAGACUCCUACGGGAGGCAGCAGUGGGAAUAUUGGACAAUGGGCGAAAGCCUGAUCCAGCCAUGCCGCGUGUGUGAAGAAGGUCUUCGGAUUGUAAAGCACUUUAAGUUGGGAGGAAGGGCAGUAAGUUAAUACCUUGCUGUUUUGACGUUACCAACAGAAUAAGCACCGGCUAACUUCGUG
This 483-nucleotide ribosomal RNA is filed under the name uncultured bacterium. RNAcentral's name for it is "partial 16S ribosomal RNA". It matches the Rfam family "Bacterial small subunit ribosomal RNA", at positions 30 to 507 of the family's 1533-position model. The record is from RNAcentral.